RNAcentral lists this ribosomal RNA (506 nucleotides) under uncultured bacterium. RNAcentral's name for it is "partial 16S ribosomal RNA". It matches the Rfam family "Bacterial small subunit ribosomal RNA", at positions 29 to 523 of the family's 1533-position model. The record is from RNAcentral.
AGUGAACGCUGGCGGUAGGCCUAACACAUGCAAGUCGAACGGCAGCACAGGAGAGCUUGCUCUCUGGGUGGCGAGUGGCGGACGGGGGAGGAAUACAUCGGAAUCUACGCUGUCGUGGGGGAUAACGGAGGGAAACUUACGCUAAUACCGCAUACGACCUACGGGUGACAGCAGAGGACCUUCGGGCCUUGCGCGAUUGAAUGAGCCGAUGUCGGAUUAGCUAGUUGGCGGGGUAAAGGCCCACCAAGGCGACGAUCCGUAGCUGGUCUGAGAGGAUGAUCAGCCACACUGGAACUGAGACACGGUCCAGACUCCUACGGGAGGCAGCAGUGGGGAAUAUUGGACAAUGGGCGCAAGCCUGAUCCAGCCAUACCGCGUGGGUGAAGAAGGCCUUCGGGUUGUAAAGCCCUUUUGUUGGGAAAGAAAUCCAGCUGGCUAAUACCCGGUUGGGAUGACGGUACCCAAAGAAUAAGCACCGGCUAACUUCGUGCCAGCCGCCGCGGUAA